UGGCUCAGGACGAACGCUGGCGGCGUGCCUAAUACAUGCAAGUCGAGCGAAUGGAUUAAGAGCUUGCUCUUAUGAAGUUAGCGGCGGACGGGUGAGUAACACGUGGGUAACCUGCCCAUAAGACUGGGAUAACUCCGGGAAACCGGGGCUAAUACCGGAUAACAUUUUGAACCGCAUGGUUCGAAAUUGAAAGGCGGCUUCGGCUGUCACUUAUGGAUGGACCCGCGUCGCAUUAGCUAGUUGGUGAGGUAACGGCUCACCAAGGCAACGAUGCGUAGCCGACCUGAGAGGGUGAUCGGCCACACUGGGACUGAGACACGGCCCAGACUCCUACGGGAGGCAGCAGUAGGA
Molecule: ribosomal RNA, 351 nt
Filed under: Bacillus cereus
Lineage: Bacteria; Bacillati; Bacillota; Bacilli; Caryophanales; Bacillaceae
Description: bacterial SSU rRNA
Rfam family: Bacterial small subunit ribosomal RNA
Source: RNAcentral